UACGUAGGUGGCAAGCGUUGUCCGGAUUUACUGGGCGUAAAGAGCGCGCAGGCGGUCGUUCAAGUCGCGUGUGAAAGCCCCCGGCUCAACUGGGGAGGGUCACGCGAUACUGAUCGACUCGAAGGCAGGAGAGGGUAGUGGAAUUCCCGGUGUAGUGGUGAAAUGCGUAGAUAUCGGGAAGAACACCGAUGGCGAAGGCAGCUCUCUGGACCGUUACUGACGCUGAGGCGCGAAAGCGUGGGGAGCAAACAGG
This 253-nucleotide ribosomal RNA is filed under the name uncultured bacterium. RNAcentral describes it as "partial 16S ribosomal RNA". It matches the Rfam family "Bacterial small subunit ribosomal RNA", at positions 524 to 776 of the family's 1533-position model. The record is from RNAcentral.